This 440-nucleotide ribosomal RNA is filed under the name uncultured bacterium. RNAcentral's name for it is "partial 16S ribosomal RNA". It matches the Rfam family "Bacterial small subunit ribosomal RNA", at positions 338 to 795 of the family's 1533-position model. The record is from RNAcentral.
CCUACGGGAGGCAGCAGUGGGGGAUAUUGCACAAUGGGGGGAACCCUGAUGCAGCGACGCCGCGUGGGUGAAGAAGCGCCUCGGCGCGUAAAGCCCUGUCAGCAGGGAAGAAAAUGACGGUACCUGAAGAAGAAGCCCCGGCUAACUACGUGCCAGCAGCCGCGGGAAUACGUAGGGGGCAAGCGUUAUCCGGAUUUACUGGGUGUAAAGGGGGCGCAGACGGCGAUGCAAGCCAGGAGUGAAAGCCCGGGGCCCAACCCCGGGACUGCUCUUGGAACUGCGUGGCUGGAGUGCAGGAGGGGCAGGCGGAAUUCCUGGUGUAGCGGUGAAAUGCGUAGAUAUCAGGAGGAACCCCGGUGGCGAAGGCGGCCUGCUGGACUGCAACUGACGUUGAGGCCCGAAAGCGUGGGGAGCAAACAGGAUUAGAUACCCCAGUAGUC